GACGAACGCUGGCGGCGUGCUUAACACAUGCAAGUCGAACGGAAAGGCCCUGCUUUUGUGGGGUGCUCGAGUGGCGAACGGGUGAGUAACACGUGAGUAACCUGCCCUUGACUUUGGGAUAACUUCAGGAAACUGGGGCUAAUACCGGAUAGGAGCUCCUGCUGCAUGGUGGGGGUUGGAAAGUUUCGGCGGUUGGGGAUGGACUCGCGGCUUAUCAGCUUGUUGGUGGGGUAGUGGCUUACCAAGGCUUUGACGGGUAGCCGGCCUGAGAGGGUGACCGGCCACAUUGGGACUGAGAUACGGCCCAGACUCCUACGGGAGGCAGCAGUGGGGAAUAUUGCACGAUGGGCGGAAGCCUGAUGCAGCAACGCCGCGUGCGGGAUGACGGCCUUCGGGGUGGAAACCGCUUUCGCCUGUGACGAAGCGUGAGUGACGGUAAUGGGUAAAGAAGCACCGGCUAACUACGUG
RNAcentral lists this ribosomal RNA (468 nucleotides) under uncultured bacterium. RNAcentral describes it as "partial 16S ribosomal RNA". It matches the Rfam family "Bacterial small subunit ribosomal RNA", at positions 28 to 507 of the family's 1533-position model. The record is from RNAcentral.